This 497-nucleotide ribosomal RNA is filed under the name uncultured bacterium. RNAcentral's name for it is "partial 16S ribosomal RNA". It matches the Rfam family "Bacterial small subunit ribosomal RNA", at positions 28 to 507 of the family's 1533-position model. The record is from RNAcentral.
GACGAACGCUGGCGGCGUGCCUAAUACAUGCAAGUGGAACUCUUAAGAGAGUAACUUGCUCGUCUUGUAUGAGUGGCGAACGGGUUAGUAACUCGGAGUGAACCUGCCUGCUAGCGGGGGAUAACUUUUGGAAACGAUAGCUAAUACCACAUCACAAUGGAGGACACAGAUCCUUUAUUUUAAAGGGGCAAUUGCUCCACUACAGGAUGGACCUGCGUUGUAUUAUCUAGUAGGUGAGGUAAUGGCUCACCUAGGCGACGAUACAUAGCCGACCCGAGAGGGUGAUCGGCCACACUGGGAUUGCGACACGGCCGAGAAUGAUACGGGAGGCAGCAGUAGGGAAUCUCCGGCAAUGGGGGCAAGCCUGAACGAGCAAAGCCGCGUGAGUGCAGAAGGUUUUCGGAUCGUAAAGAUCUGUUGUAAGUAAAGAACGGCUGUGAGAGUGGAAAGUUCACAGUGUGACGGUAGCUUACCAGAAAGGGACGGCUAACUACGUG